Molecule: RNA transcript, 1427 nt
Organism: Esox lucius (northern pike)
Lineage: Eukaryota; Metazoa; Chordata; Actinopteri; Esociformes; Esocidae
Gene name: H-2 class II histocompatibility antigen, E-S beta chain-like
Exons: 4
Source: RefSeq, a predicted model, not a curated record
AGACCUGUUUUAACUCUGAGGUGUAAACAUGUCUGUGCUGAAAUUCCUCUCCCUCCAUCUGGUUCUCCUUUUCUCUGUGCACGCAGUGGUGUUUCCCACCGACGGAAAUUUUGCUGAACUUCAUGCCAGGUGUCGGUUCAGAAAAAAAUAUGACAUUGAAUAUAUUGAAGAAAAUUAUUUCAACAAGAAGAAGAUGUUAUUCUACAACACCACCAAGGAUUAUUGGAUAGGAUACACACCCUCUGGAACAGAUCUUGCAAACAUAUUUAACAAAGAUCCUUAUCACAAAGAUGCAAAAAGAGCUGCAAAGGACAUUUUGUGUGUGGCCCACGCUGAUCCAUUGUACAACUUCCUACAAAAUUAUACACUUACGCCGCACAUCCGUCUGAGGUCAGUGAAGCCGACGGGUACUAGACACUCAGCCAUGCUCGUGUGCAGCGCUUAUGACUUCUACCCCAAAACCAUAAUAAUGACCUGGUUAAAGAACAAACGGGCAGUGACCUCUGAUGUGAUCUCUACUGAGGAAAUGUCCAAUGGAGACUGGAGCUACCAGAUCCACUUAUAUCUGGAGUACACGCCCACAGCUGGAGAGAUAAUCACCUGUAUGGUGGAGCACAUCACCCUCACUGAGCCUCAGCUGUAUGACUGGGGUAAACGUUUGAUUUUCCACUGACUCCUUACCUUUAUGUUGAUUGCAUGGUGUGUGUGAGUCUUACAGCAAAAACCUAACACAUUCACGUGUUCCAGAGUGUGUAGAUCCAACCAUUUGGUCAAGGCAAUAGUACACUGAUGAGCCAAAACAUUCUGACCACUCACAGGUGAAACAAAAAACGUUGAUCAUCUCCUGACAAGGGGCACAUGUCAAGAUCUGGGUUGAUUAGACGGUGGAAGGCUGUGUACGUUUGCCUGGGGAAGUGAUGGCACCAGGCUGCACUGUCGGAAGCCGACAAACCAAUGGAGUAGGUGGAGAUCUCAAUCUGAUUGAGUGUCUAUGGGAUGUGCUAGACCAACAAGUCCGAUCCACAGCAGCUCCCCCUCGCAACUGGAAGGACUUGAAAGCUCUGCUGCUAAUGUCUUGGUGCCAGAUACCAGAUGACCCCUUCAGGGGUCUUGUAGAGACCAUGCCUUGGUGGGUUGGCACUGUUUUGGCAGCAGGCAGAGGACCAACAGUGGUUAUAAUGUUUUGUCUCAUCAGUUAAUAGUGUAUCUUAUGUAGAACUAAUUGAAGCAAACUGUUGACAAAUGUCAACUUGUCCUGAUGAGAUAUACACAGUAACCAAAACGACGAGCCAGGGUAGGGGUAAAAGAAACACAUCAAUUUAAAGUGUUUCUUAAACUCCUCACAAGAUAAAUUAAUGGCAAAUUGCGAAAAGAGACAGUACAGUGGGGAAAACAAGUAUUUGAUACAUUGCCGAUUUUGCAGGUUU